CUCUAACUGCCAGGAGCUAAUAUUAGAAAUGGUUGUGUCCCCACAAGCUUUGUUUCUAAACAUGAUCCAAGAUGGCUAGAUCCUAUAAGCUGCCCUAGCCCAGCCCUUUUUACAAUGUAGUUACUAUCACUGUAUUCCAACUGUUUCAGAAUGGCAGUUGGUGACUGGCUUCUACUCCCCCCACCAGGAAUCAAGAUGUCUUUGAUUGUGUAUGGAAACCCCUAGGCAGAGCCAGUGACAAUGGCUGCUAUCCAGAGGAAUUACAACUGUCAGUUGAUGUCCCCAGGCAUACCACAAGACCAUUUCUUCUUUUAAGCUGUCUUUUAAUACAGUAAUACCAUGCUAAUUCAGAGCUAUAAUGAAGACGACUGCAGAUUCUCAAGCGAGAUGAAUAUGAAAGUGAAAUCAGGAUGAACAGCCAUGAUGUCAGAGCCCCAAAAGUACUCUGUUCUUUCUCUCUGAUAAAUGGACUUUCGUUUUAAUUAUUUAUGAGAUUAUUUGGUAAUAGACCAGUAAAUGUACUAGAGUAUCUUUUGUAAAAGUAAUGAAGUCUUUGUAAUAUGAGAUCUCAUGACAGCCCUCUACUAUUAAUAAUCUUUACUGAGAGCAGAGUGAGACUGCUGGGUUUUGUGUGAGAAUUAUUGUAUCUGCAGAUUAGCAAAGUGAAAAUGAAUCAAGUUUGACUGUAUCAAAAACAAUUUGCAAAAGAAGUUGCCCACUAAGCAGCUUGCGAUGACUCUGAACAGGGACAUGAAGAGCUGUCAUUAAUUCAUAUUGAGAACCCACUGUUUCAUUUUUUACUAGGUACUUUAAGAACAAUAAGCCCAAUUUGUUGGUGAGAUUUCAUAGUAAUUGGACUCUGUUCUCCCCAGUGGCUAAGUAAUUGUCCAAGUAGUAAAUUAGGCAUUAAAUGGUUCAUAGUGGCCUAAGACAUUUAAUGUGCCACCAGGGAGCAAUUUAAAGGACGGGAAAAUUUGAUUCACUGAGGCCCACAGGUACCAUAUAGAAUGUAUACAAUACCUGCCCUCUAGGAGUUUAUAAUCAAGGCAAGGUAUGACAUCACACAUAAAAAUUUCACACUGGCACAUAUAGAUUAUUUCUUUAUCCAGACAUGAUUUUAUUGGUGUAAGGAACCACUAAUGAGGAAACUCCAUAGAAGGAGUUGGCAAUGAAGGAGUUAGCCAUGAAAGACUGGCAACUCUUUGGUAACUAAUGAUCUUUUUUAAAA
This 1228-nucleotide long non-coding RNA is filed under the name Monodelphis domestica (gray short-tailed opossum). Its description in RNAcentral is "lncRNA (ENSMODG00000043985.1)". The record is from RNAcentral. Lineage: Eukaryota; Metazoa; Chordata; Mammalia; Didelphimorphia; Didelphidae.